AAAUGAUAGUUUCUGGAUUUGACCAUAUUAAUGACUUAAGGCUCAUAUUUCUGUGUUUAUUAUAAUUAAGUCUAUGAUUUGAUAUUUGAUAGAGCAGUCUGCAGCAGGCUCGUAAGCAUUCAUUUAAACAGCAGCUCUUAGCAAUGCUGGGAUGCACAGCCCUGUUUAUGACUUCAAGCCUAUCAACUCCCAGAAUUAGGCUGGCAAUACUAAAGUGCCUGUAAGAACAUUCCAAUAGUCAAAGGUAUAUGGAAUACAAAUGGUAUAGAGAGAAAUAGACCUAUGAUUACUCUAAUAACUACAACCUAAAACUUCUUACCUGGGAAUAUUGAAGACUCAUGUUAAAAGGAACCACCAGCUUUCAUAUGUUCUCAUGUUCUGAGCGAGGAACUUAAACGUUAGCUUUUUUACAUGGCACAUAUUGCACUUUUACUUUCUUCUCCAACACUGUGUUUUUGCAUUAUUUAAACCAAAUUGAAAAUGCCUCAUUAUUUAUUUGAGACUAAAUUGAUUUUAGUUAUGUAUUAUAUUAAGUUAAAAUAAAAAAGUGUUCAUUGUUCAUUCAGUAGUGUUGUAAUUAUUACACAUAUAUAUAUAUAUAAAAAAAAAUACAUAAUUAUUAUUAUUUAUUUUUUAAUUCGUCCGAUUAGUCGGUAUUGGCUUUUUUUGGUCCUCCAAUAAAUCAGUAUCGGCGUUGAGAAAUCAUAAUCGGUCGACCUCUACAUUAAACAAAGCCUGUGUGUCCAUGUAUGCUGAUGAUUCAACCACAGACGCAUCAGCAACCACAGCUAAUGAAGUCACUGAAAACCUUAAAGAGUUGAGGUCUGUUUUGGAAUGGGUGGCCAGUAAUAAACUGGUCCUGAACAUCUCUAAAACUAAGAGCGUUGUAUUUGGUACAAAUCCUUCCUAGAGUUCUAGACCUCAGCUGAAUCUGGUAAUGAAUGGUGUGGCUGUUGAACAAGUUGAGGAGACUAAAUUACUUGGCGUUACCUUAGAUUGUAAACUCUAAUGGUCAAAACAUACAGAUUCAAUGGUUGUAAAGAUGGGGAGAGGUCUGGCCGUAAUAAAGGGAUGCUUUGCUUUUUUGACACCACACUGUAAAAAGCAGGUCCUGCAGGCUCUAGUUUUGUCUAAUCUUGAUUAUUGUCCAGUCGUGUGGUCCAGUGCUGCAAGGAAAGACCUAGUUAAGCUGCAGCUGGUCCAGAACAGAGCGGGACGUCUUGCUCGUCAUUGUAAUCAGAGGGCUGAUAUUAAUACUAUGGAUGCCAGUCUCUCUUGGCUAAGAGUUGAGGAAAGACUGACUGCAUCACUUCUUCUUAUAAGAAGUGUCUUUUGUCCUAUAUUUAUAUAUUUAAAAACAUUUACAUUUUUUUAUCCCAGGCCGUCAUUGUAAAUAAGAAUUAGUUUUUAAUUGACUUGCCUAGUUAAAUAAAAAAUAUAUAGAUUGUGUUAGAUCCCACAUUUUUUACAUUGUCAACUACACACAGAUCCGACACACACACUUACCCCACCAGACAUGCCACCAGGGGUCUUUUCACAGUCCCCAAAUACAGAACAAAUUCAAGAAAGCUUACUGUAUUAUUGUCAUUUAGCAGACACUCUUAUCCAUAGCGACUUACAGUAGUGAGUGCAAACAUUUUCAUAGUGAAAAUUAUGAAAUGGAUUAAUUUGCCCAAGUUAAUCAUAAGAUACGAACAAAAUGCAUCAGUGAUUGGAUCAGUGCAACUUCCUGAAAGAGCACAGGGCCCCUGUCUGUCUGUGUGUAGUGCUGCUCUGUAUGUCUGGUCUAUACUCUGUGUGUAGUGCUGCUCUGUGUGUAGUGCUGCUCUGUAUGUCUGGUCUACACUCUCUGUGUGUAGUGCUGCUCUGUAUGUCUGGUCUACACUCUGUGUGUAGUGCUGCUCUGUAUGUCUGGUCUACACUCUGUGUGUAGUGCUGCUCUGUAUGUCUGGUCUACACUCUCUGUGUGUAGUGCUGCUCUGUAUGUCUGGUCUACACUCUGUGUGUAGUGCUGCUCUGUAUGUCUGGUCUACACUCUCUGUGUUGCUGCUCUAUAUGUCUGGUCUACACUCUGUGUAGUGCUGCUCUGUAUGUCUGGUCUACACUCUGUAUAGUGCUGCUCUGUGUGUAGUGCUGCUCUGUAUGUCUGGUCUACACUCUGUGUUGUGCUGCUCUGUAUGUCUGGUCUACACUCUGUGUGUAGUGCUGCUCUGUAUGUCUGGUCUACACUCUGUGUGUAGUGCUGCUCUGUGUGUAGUGCUGCUCUGUAUGUCUGGUCUACACUCUGUGUGUAGUGCUGCUCUGUAUGUCUGGUCUAUACUCUGUGUGUAGUGCUGCUCUGUAUGUCUGGACUACACUGUGUGUGUAGUGCUGAUCUGUAUGUCUGGUCUACACACUGUGUGUUGUGCUGCUCUGUAUGUCUGGUCUACACUCUGUGCAGCUGUUAGAGAUAAUGCUAAUGAUAACUGUCUUCUGGUAGAGGGAAAGACUUUCCCAAACCUCCUCUAUUAAAUUUUAACUACAAAGUAGCAUAUGCCUACCUGGCAGAAUUAUAGAGAUCAUUUGUUUUGAAAACUCUGCACCAUCACAGAAGCACUACAGAAACACUACUAACCAAACAACAGUGCUAGGUGUCUGUGCUACAGAAACACUGCUAACCAAACAACAGUGCUAGGUGUCUGUACUACAGAAACACCGCUAACCAAACAACAGUGCUAGGUGUCUGUGCUACAGAAACACUGCUAACCAAACAACAGUGCUAGGUGGCUGUGCUACAGAAACACUGCUAACCAAACAACAGUGCUAGGUGGCUGUGCUACAGAAACACUGCUAACCAAACAACAGUGCUAGGUGGCUGUGCUACAGAAACACCGCUAACCAAACAACAGUGCUAGGUGGCUGUACUACAGAAACACUGCUAACCAAACAACAGUGCUAGGUGGCUGUACUACAGAAACACUGCUAACCAAACAACAGUGCUAGGUGGCUGUGCUACAGAAACACUGCUAACCAAACAACAGUCUCUGGCUGGUGAACACUUGUAUUAAAAGGAAACUACACCCCCCCCCCCCACAACAACAAAAAA
Molecule: long non-coding RNA, 3085 nt
Filed under: Salmo salar (Atlantic salmon)
Lineage: Eukaryota; Metazoa; Chordata; Actinopteri; Salmoniformes; Salmonidae
Description: lncRNA (ENSSSAG00000106303.1)
Source: RNAcentral